UGAGUUUGGUUGUGUGAGCAGUGUGUGUCUGAAUUCCUGGGGACUGGCCCAGGAGCGUUUUCAGGCUUAGGGACAUAGUCUUUGUGUGUAACCCCAAUGUGUCUUCCCUGAGAGUUUCAUUCUCCUUAACCAGGAGGGUUUUUUGACUUGUUUUAGCCUAAUGUAACUAAGCAACUUGGAAGAGGCAGCUGAAGUAGGUAGAACAGCUUGUCCUCUGCCCAAAUACCUUCAGCUGUUCUCAUGGCUCUCACCAGGUGCAUGGAGGUAUCUGCUGCUUCCUUGCAGUUCCCCCAGCUCAGUGGCUAUUAGUUAUAUGCUGUACUACAAGAAAGCAACUUGGACUAGCAGCGAGUUGCUCACCAGCACCACAGCAGCGGCUGGAGUGCCAGGAGAAACCAGAGCUGCUGUCUGCGAGGAGGAGGACAUCUCUGACAAUGACACCUUCUUCCCUGGUAUAAGGAAGAAGAGCCACACUCCUUUCACCUGAUGAGCACUCCUUAACUCUAAACAUUCAUCCUAAAAACUGCUUCUACAGCUUUCUAAUUUUUUUUUGCUUCAUCAUACAAAACAAGUGUGCUGAACUCCAUCCCUCCUGAGAUGUCAAUGGCCAGGCCUCCCAGGAACUCCGCACUGGCACUUGGCCCGGACUGCAGCUGAAUCUCCUAGAGCCAUCAGAAAGCACAGGUCAACUCGACUGGGACAGCAGACUCAGUGCUUUCCUUACUCGCUUUUGUACUGCAGUGCUACUGCUUGCUUUGUGUAGAAACAAAAAAGGAUGGAGGGCUCUCCUGAAAAGGUGGGCAAAAUGAUCCUGAUGUACCUUGCUCCCUAGAAAAGGGAGAUGAAGCUAAGGAAAGGUGCCUUGCAUCCUUCCCCUCUCUCUUGUGUCCCAGCUGGCAUAAUUUCUGCAAGGACUGGCCUCUGUCUCGAAGAGCUACCACACAGUCCUCAUGGAGGCUCUGCUGGUAGUUCAGCUAUGCUGGAUGAAACUCCUUGCUGGAGCCGCGGCAGUGGUGCUGUUCAGUGUGACUUCAGCACGCUCAAAGGCAGCCCUGCACUGGCAGCAGGAUGCAGAGUGCUGCAAGCAGUUGUGUGGUGCAUAGUGGUCUGGUGUAGUGGCUCCAAAGCCACUGUUACAACAGGAGGUUACAUCUUCAGUGGCUGGGUGGCCAAACCCCCAAGCUAAUAUUGCCUUACUUGCUGCUCUUAAAUUUGAAUUUGAUGUCUUUUCCAUCAACCAUCAAGUGUGCUCAUGGCUUCUUGAAACCUUUGCAGCUGGACCAGAGGCACAUCAUGUGGACUCUGUUUUGGAACUGGUAAUAUAGCUCAGGGUCUUGUCAGCUCACUGCUUUUAAUUUUGACCCACAGCCAAGAUGAUAAGGUUCGCUCAUCUUGGCAAUCUACCUCACUACAUAUCUGACUUGGUUCCCUUUAUGUAGUUGUCCUGUUUCCCUAAGAACUGGUGGAUUAAUUCACUGUAGUAAAAGAACCAUUAACUGGGGAAAAAGUUCAUUUUAAGUCCCUUGUGCACAGGACACUUCCUACUCCCUCCCAUGUGGCUUCCUUUCUCCUCCUGAGUUUCUGUGCUUGUGCUCAGAAGCACCUUUAAUGCUGCAGGCAUAUGUUGGGCAUGUAAAGACCCCCAUUUGCUCUCUCUUUUUGAUGUUUAGGUAUCUUAAAACUCUCAUCUUUUUCUUAGCUAUUCAGUAGACCAGUGAUUCCAGUUACUACUGUUUCAAGAUUGAAGAGGGAAGCAGUCAGAGACAAACUGGCUUCCUAAACCUAUAGUAAGGAGCAAUAUCUGGGGAAGUUUUUAUGCAGAGCUUUAAAGGUUUCCUGCCAUGAUCAAGGACUUGGAUAAUUCUGGUGGCUGUAUAUAGUUACAUCACCUUUUAAGGUAAAUAAACAAUCUCUGCCUUGGCAGAACCGACUUGGCAGCCAGUUGCUGCUGAAGUGGGCUUGAGAAUUACUGUAAGAAUGCAGCAGGAUGGCUGUGGAGUUAUAACUCCAGCACACCCCCAGCACGUAUGGGCAUACUGUGCUCUGGUUUCUUCUUUGACUCCAAGUUAAAAUCAUGCACUGAAACUAUGACCCUUCUGAAAUCCAAGGGAGAUAUAUUUUUUCCUACUGACUGCAGUGGGGCAAGGAAUAUUUUCUUUGACAGACUGUUUAGGUGUGAAGAUAAAGCUUGUUUUACUUCAUUUUACUUGCGUUUUAAUUGGGACUGAAUUGAUAGGCAGCUGCUAAUGAGCGAGGAGGUAACAGUAUAUGCUCUGGCACAGACCUGCAGACAACCAGAGGAGCAGGUAUUUUUAGAUGCAUUGUCAAAUUGCACUUAAUAAUGUUAAGAGUAGGGUUGGUUUGCAAUGUCUGCUCAGUUUAAGGCUUUAAAGGCUACCUAGAAUUAAGUGGGGUUUGUCACUGGAACUAGCAGAGAAGGUAAGUAGCACUUGUCUUGGGUUUUAGCAGCUCAUCUACUUCCUUAUUUAGAGCUCAGUCCUGUCCUUCACCUCGUGUGCAAAUCCAAUCCAGGCUGGUGGGAGGUGUAAAUCACAGGGACCUAGACUCCUCAGGAGCAGUAUUUUCCUUUCCCUUCCUAUUUUAAGCUUUGUGUGUCAUUUGCAGUGGAAAAUGUGAUCCAAAGGAUCCGAACUGGUAGUUUGUUGCUGUUCAAAAUGCCCAGAC
Molecule: long non-coding RNA, 2685 nt
Organism: Pogoniulus pusillus (Red-fronted tinkerbird)
Lineage: Eukaryota; Metazoa; Chordata; Aves; Piciformes; Lybiidae
Exons: 3
Source: RefSeq, a predicted model, not a curated record